Long non-coding RNA from Oncorhynchus gorbuscha (pink salmon), 153 nucleotides. RefSeq lists it as uncharacterized. NCBI's taxonomy places the organism in Eukaryota, Metazoa, Chordata, Actinopteri, Salmoniformes, Salmonidae. The record is from RefSeq and is a predicted model, not a curated record. The transcript has 3 exons.
CCUCCGUCUCUGUUGAAACAGGUCAUCAGGCUAGGCUCUCCUCCGUCUCUGUUGAAACAGGUCAUCAGGCUAGGCUCUCCUCCGUCUCUGUUGAAACAGGUCAUCAGGCUCUCCUCCGUCUCUGUUGAAACAGGUCAUCAGGCUAGGCUCUCC